AAUCACCCCCUUUUCGCUUGUACCACCAGUUACAGAUCAUCCUGUACAUACAUAUAUAUUUCAUUUUCUUACGGCUAACGAUUACAAGAUUUGGAUUGAAUAUGUCAUUCUAACAAGAGUUUUAUUCCAUAAUAAUAUGUAAAUAGAAUGCAACUGCAGUGACAAAGAAUAAUCAAGACAAGAAUCUGUAAAAGGGGAGGUAAAUAAUUUAACUGGAAGUGUCUACUCAUUACUAUCAACAACAAUAAGAAGAAUUCAAUAGUACUGCAA
Polistes dominula (European paper wasp) is the source of this 270-nucleotide long non-coding RNA. The record is from RefSeq and is a predicted model, not a curated record. Lineage: Eukaryota; Metazoa; Arthropoda; Insecta; Hymenoptera; Vespidae.